RNAcentral lists this ribosomal RNA (332 nucleotides) under uncultured bacterium. RNAcentral describes it as "bacterial SSU rRNA". It matches the Rfam family "Bacterial small subunit ribosomal RNA", at positions 568 to 898 of the family's 1533-position model. The record is from RNAcentral.
CGCGUAGGCGGUUUGUCGAGUUAGGCGUGAAAGGCCUGGGCCUUAACCCAGGAAUGGCGCUUGAUACUGACGAUCUGGAGAUCGGGAGAGGAGAGUGGAAUUCCCAGUGUAGAGGUGAAAUUCGUAGAUAUUGGGAAGAACACCGGUGGCGAAGGCGGCUCUCUGGCCCGCAUCUGACGCUAAGGCGCGAAAGCGUGGGGAGCAAACAGGAUUAGAUACCCUGGUAGUCCACGCUGUAAACGAUGAGUGCUAGGACGUUGGGGGCUUGGCUCCUCGGUGUCGCAGCUAACGCGGUAAGCGACUCCGCCUGGGAGUACGGUCGCAAGAUUAAA